GAUGAACGCUGGCGGCGUGCUUAACACAUGCAAGUCGAACGGGAUCCAAGGGGUGCUUGCACUUUUUGGUGAGAGUGGCGAACGGGUGAGUAACACGUGAGUAACCUGUCCUUUUCUUUGGGAUAAGCAUUCGAAAGGGUGUUUAAUACCUUAUGUUCUGUCUGCCUCGCAUGGGGUGGGUGGGAAAGGCUUUGGCCGGAUUUGGGUGGGCUCGCGGUCUAUCAGCUUGUUGGUGGGGUGAUGGCUUACCAAGGCUUUGACGGGUAGCCGGCCUGAGAGGGUGGUCGGUCAAAUUGGGACUGAGAUACGGUCCAGACUCCUGCGGGAGGCAGCAGUGGGGGAUAUUGCAAAAUGGGCGAAAGCCUGAUGCAGCGACGCCGCGUGGGGGAUGAAGGCCUUCGGGUUGUAAACUUCUUUUGCUCUGAACAAGGCAUGCCAGUGGGUGUGUUGAGUGUAGGGGUUGAUUAGCGACGGCUAACUACGUG
Molecule: ribosomal RNA, 485 nt
Filed under: uncultured bacterium
Lineage: Bacteria
Description: partial 16S ribosomal RNA
Rfam family: Bacterial small subunit ribosomal RNA
Source: RNAcentral